CCCAAUUUUCAAUAGAAACAUUCCUAUUAGAUGUACACUGGUUAAACAUUGUAAUUUUGGCUUUGGAUGACUGAUAUGUUACGUUCAACUACUUCGACUAAGUUAACAGAUAGAAAUUUACAAUAAAAUACAGAAAAAGGGUCGCCGAUGCCAUCUCGAAUACCUUAAUAAGAAAGUGAUUUAUGACGGUUUUUGUCAACGAACUGUACAGUGAUUAUUUAAAAACGCACAACGAACUCGACACAUUUGGUGAGACGAACGAUACAGUAAGAGAAAACUUAUGAAGUAUGAUAUUGCGUUUAUUCUGAGUUUUAUGGAACAUUUGAAGGCACGUAGUAAUUCAACGUAUAGUUAUUUAUUAUUACUUAAGGUAUUAAUACGCAAAAGUGUAUGCACGAAAAGAUAUUCAGCAUUGUUUAUCUCAUAAAACGUAUGAAAUUGCACCAUGUCUGUGCGUUUUGCAUCUAGCAGUUUU
RNAcentral lists this long non-coding RNA (475 nucleotides) under Mytilus galloprovincialis (Mediterranean mussel). Lineage: Eukaryota; Metazoa; Mollusca; Bivalvia; Mytilida; Mytilidae. The record is from RNAcentral.